ACGGAAGGCAGCAGUGGGGAAUAUUGCACAAUGGGGGAAACCCUGAUGCAGCAACGCCGCGUGAAGGAAGACGGUCUUCGGAUUGUAAACUUCUGUUCUUAGUGAAGAUAAUGACGGUAGCUAAGGAGCAAGCCACGGCUAACUACGUGCCAGCAGCCGCGGUAAUACGUAGGUGGCAAGCGUUGUCCGGAAUUACUGGGUGUAAAGGGAGCGCAGGCGGGAAAUCAAGUUGGAUGUGAAAUGUCGGGGCUUAACCCCGGAACUGCAUCCAAAACUGAUUUUCUUGAGUGAAGUAGAGGUAGGCGGAAUUCCGAGUGUAGCGGUGAAAUGCGUAGAUAUUCGGAGGAACACCAGUGGCGAAGGCGGCCUGCUGGGCUUUAACUGACGCUGAGGCUCGAAAGUGUGGGGAGCAAACAGGAUUAGAUACCCUGGUA
This 434-nucleotide ribosomal RNA is filed under the name uncultured Clostridiales Family IV bacterium. Its description in RNAcentral is "bacterial SSU rRNA". It matches the Rfam family "Bacterial small subunit ribosomal RNA", at positions 341 to 792 of the family's 1533-position model. Lineage: Bacteria; Bacillati; Bacillota; Clostridia; Eubacteriales; Eubacteriales Family IV. Incertae Sedis. The record is from RNAcentral.